GAUGAACGCUGGCGGCGUGCCUAAUACAUGCAAGUCGAGCGAACAGACGAGGAGCUUGCUCCUCUGACGUUAGCGGCGGACGGGUGAGUAACACGUGGAUAACCUACCUAUCAGACUGGGAUAACUUCGGGAAACCGGAGCUAAUACCGGAUAAUAUAUUGAACCGCAUGGUUCAAGAGUGAAAGACGGUUUUGCUGUCACUUAUAGAUGGAUCCGCGCCGCCUUAGCUAGUUGGGAAGGUAACGGCUUACCAAGGCAACGAUGCGUAGCCGACCUGAGCGGGUGGUCGCCCACACUGGAACUGAGACACGGUCCAGACGCCUACGGGAGGCAGCAGUAGGGAAUCUUCCGCAAUGGGCGAAAGCCUGACGGAGCAACGCCGCGUGAGUGAUGAAGGUCUUCGGAUCGUAAAACUCUGUUAUUAGGGAAGAACAAAUGUGUAAGUAACUAUGCACGUCUUGACGGUACCUAAUCAGAAAGCCCCGGCUAACUACGUG
Molecule: ribosomal RNA, 497 nt
Filed under: uncultured bacterium
Lineage: Bacteria
Description: partial 16S ribosomal RNA
Rfam family: Bacterial small subunit ribosomal RNA
Source: RNAcentral